Molecule: transfer RNA, 72 nt
Filed under: Halarchaeum grantii
Lineage: Archaea; Methanobacteriati; Methanobacteriota; Halobacteria; Halobacteriales; Halobacteriaceae
Description: tRNA-Gly
Rfam family: tRNA
About the family: Transfer RNA (tRNA) molecules are approximately 80 nucleotides in length.
Source: RNAcentral
GCACCGGUGGUCUAGUGGUAGGACAUGAGCUUCCCAAGCUCAUAGCCCGGGUUCAAUUCCCGGCCGGUGCAC